CCUAAUUUCCUCUCAUUUUGAUACACCAAGAAAACUUCUUCAAUUGCAAUUCUUGUAAAAUUCAGUUUCUAAUUACUUAAAAACAAUUCAAUUUAAGGUCCUGAAAAUUAAAUUUCAAAAUUUCAGCACUACAUAACCACCUUUGCACUUGCGUCACAAGGGAUUAGAACAACAGGCAAGAUACAAUUUAGGGAACCCAACCCCACAACUCCCUCAGAUAAUAAAUACACUCAACUUCCAAAUAGAAGCAACUCACUAGAUGAUGGUAGCGGUAAAGCAUCAAUCUUUGCCACUGAUUCUUCGAAAUUUGGAUAACAUGUAGAUGUAAUUCAUUGCAUCUUAAAAUAUUGAGUUCUUGAGAUCACACAACGCUGCCCAUUCAAUGCAUAUUUGAUCAUUAUGUCAAUGCCCCGAGGAUUCUUUUUGUUUGGUGCUACAGUCAUGUUCCCAGUUAGGGCUUCCCUUUCACAUGUAGUUAGCACAUCUUCUAGGUACAGAAAUGUUUGCUUCCAGUGUGUAGCCCGUGAUCUUGGUCCUGUAGAGAAGCCCAUUAACUUGUGACAAUUGGUAAAUGACACAUCAAAGUAGGCUACCAACGCAUGAAUGUAAUCAUCACGAUCUGCCACAAGCUUAAAAGGAACUGUGAAGGAUGCAUCCCCAGAAACCAUUUUAGAGAUAUCCAUAGUCUUGAGUAGCUGGCAGUUUGAGACAAUUUGAUUCUGAUCAACUGUAUCAACAAGAGGUUCCAUCAUGGCUUGCUUCUUGAUACAGCUCAUAUUAAAGCUAUAGACAUUACUCCAAAAUUCAAUCUUAUCUUCUUUGUAGUCUGCAUCCUCGAUGGCUGUCAAAUAGAGGGAAGCUUUGUCAGGUAGAAGAAUUCCAUCACUGACCUGAAAACAAGCAAAGGAUAAGAAAAGUUGACUUAUAUCAAAGAAUUACAACUGAUAACAAUGUUUUGCACAGAGAACAAAGUGAAAAAUGAAUUGUAAGUACAACUCACAAGCCAUUUAUCUCAUGCAUAGAGGAACAAGUUUAACAUAUUCUCAUACAAUAAAAAAUAUCCCAUCAACUCUAAAAUUAUAAUAUCUACUUUAGCAACUGGUAGCUCAAUCUCUUCAAUCUUUCCCUUCAAAACCGUCACAACUGUAAUAAUAAAAAAAAAAUUAGAGAGACCAAUUAAUUUUGCAGGAAUAUUGAAACAAGGUAGAAUUAGCAAAACACCAUAACACAAACACAUUACCUUCUGAAAAUCCAUUUGAUUCAACCAUCUCCAUCGCCAUGUCAGCCAUAUCAGAGCACUCAACCGCAUAAACAUGUGCAGCCCCAGCUUUUGCACAAAAUAGGGAUAGAAUUCCAGUUCCAGCACCAACAUCAAGUAUUAUUUUAUUCUUGAAUAGAAACUUAUUCUGAUAAAUAACAUUUUGAUGUCUUAGUUCUCACUACAUCCUUCAGCAUUUCCUGCAAUGUAAAGAUGGUUAAGUGAAUAUCAAUUGAUAACCAAUUUUAAGUAACAAGGGAAAAUUACAUCACAUAAGAUAAAUCUAUUCCAUGAAUACUCAAGAAAUCCAGAUGUCACAGUUUACAGAGUCAUCUACAUACAACAGAAAUACUACAAGAAAACCUGUCCUCAGCAGAUAAUAUUGAAAUAAUACAUAUGCAUGAAGAUUAAACAAUAAAUUUACACAUACAUUGUAAUGAAGCCAGGAAUUCAUUAGUAAACCCAAUCAUCAUUUGAAAAGCAGUUAUCACAGUGAGUGAGAGUUAGAGAAAGAGAGAGAAGCAUUAAUUUUGGAGUGGUUUCUGUGAGGUACUAAUCGAGAGACCAAUAAAUGCUAAUCUUGCUAGCACAAACCUACAAGUACUUCUGUACUAUGUGUGCAUCACCAUAUUGUAUAUGCAUACUCUCAUAAAAGCUAAUCCCAAUCCGAACUAAGAUCAAAAAGAAAAAAUCCUGUUUGGUAUCCCUUUUGUUUUUGGUUUUUGUUGUCCAAUUAUCAAAGAAAUUUAUAUAAAUAAAAUAUUUUGGUGAUUUAAAAUAGAAAAAUAAAUUUUUGCAACACAUGAAAACCGUAAAAAGUAGUUUUCUUGGUUUUAUCAACUUAUUUUCCAACUUUUUCUUUUCCAAAAUUAGACAACAAAAGCCAAAAACAUAAAACAAAGUAUCAAACAGCUCCUAAAGUAAUAAAAAUUAAACUUACUAGAAUUAAAUUGUAAGCAAUAUAAUAGUUACAAUGAAAUUAUAGAGCCAUUGAGUUAUGCCCUUUCACUUGAUGAAGACUCGCUAUUGAGUUUCCAGGCCAAAAGUUCUCCCUACCAACUAAACAAAUACUUGGAAAUACCGAAGUGUCUUUAUCUGCAAGCAACUAAUCACAACCGAUAUUCCAUGAAUUUUUAGUUGAUUGAUAAUACUUUCUAAUGAUGAACAGAUGGAGUAAUAAUGAAAUUGAAAUUAUUUUUCCCAAUAUGAUCAAUAUAUGUAGCUGUUGGAAUCCCAUGAUUGUAGGAAUUCGGAUUAUUAGGGAUUAAUUGUUUAUAGUUUCCUAUUGUAAUUAGUUUUCUAUUAUACAUAGUUUCUCAUUUAGGUCCGACUUGGUAUAUAAAUAGAAGUUUCGUAAAUCUUUUAAUUAUCAAGAAAUAUGCCCGGUUUUCUCCCAAAAUAUUAGUGUUAGUAUGGUAUCAGAGCAUUUGAUUUAUUAGGGCUAUCUCAUGGGUACUGUUAUGGGCAUGGACCAAUUUUUUGGCAUUUUAACUGUUCAUCACGUGUCAUGCCUCUACCAGCUCUUAUCCUUGACCUGGUUUGCAUUUUUCCUUUUUUGGUGCUUAUUUUUAUUUUCAGUGCAAUUCUCUGUUGUUUAUUGAAGCAUGCCCGAGGAAAAGAAUGUUGUGACUGAAAUAAAAAUGGGCUUUGUACGUGAUUGCCCCUCUUUACAAAUUAGUCUAGUGAAGCUUGAUGGAAUUUAUUAUCUUGCAUGGUUAAGAUCCUGUCUCUUGUUCAUUCAAGUUAGGGGACUAUAGGCGUAUAUUACCCAAAAACCAUAAAUUACUAGUUCUAACUAUAAUGAGUGGGAAUCAGAGAAUUCACUUGAGAUGUCUUGGCUCACCAUGGUACCUCAAUAGAACCAUUGGGUACUGUUCAUGAGUGUGGACCAUUUUUCUAGCAUUUUAACUGUUCAUUGUGUGGCGCGCUUUUAUCCAGCCCUUGUCCUGGACUUGCUUUGCAUUUUUCCUUUUCUGGUGCGUAUUUUUUAUUUUUAGUGCUAUUCUCUCUUGUUUAUUGAAGCAUGAUCGAGGGAAAGGAGGGUGUGACUGGAUUAAAAAUGGGCAUUGUAAGUGAUAAGCUCUCUUUACAAAUCAGUCUAGUAAAUCUUAAUAGAACUAGUUAUCUUGCAUGGUCAAGAUCCUGUUUCUUGUUCAUUCAUGCAAGUGGACUACAGGGGUAUAUUACUAGGGAUAAUCUGAAACUAGAAAUUGUUAGUUCUAACUAUAAUGAGUAGGAAUCAGAGAAAUUACUUGUGAUGUCUUGGCUCACCAUGGGGCCUCAAUGGAACUAUUGGGGACCUAUGGGCUACAGGACUCAGGUCUAUCAUGACAUCCAUCAACGUCAUUGCUCAAUAAUUCCUUGCUAAUUUCAAGAUCUUCAAGUAUUUGCAUGCCUUUCUUGUGCUUUUUAUGAUCACACAAACCAUCAUUUCUUUAGUUUCUCAAAUCUCAAACAAUUUCUUUUUCUUUCCCUUCAAUUUAAUCAAAAUAUUGCACAAGAUUUGUGCAACAUGCUCCCUAUUCAACCCUAUUAAAUUUAAUUUGUUGCGAAACUUUUGCUUAAUCAAUAUUAGGAAUCAUCGUGACAUUUUCUUUCCCAUUAACCUGUUGCAUCUUCUUGUCUUUGAAGUCCAUGAUUUCAACUUGGAUAGAGGUCUUAGCUUGCAUCAAAUAUUGAGGACUAUAGUUUUCGGAACAUAAAUUAUCUUGUAAUAAUGGCAUAAAAUCCUCACUUUUGAAAAAAAAAAAUUUAUUCAUUCAUUCAUUCUCGACCAUGAACAAAUUUUACCAUAUUUCAUUGAAAUUUAAACCACCAAUAAGUUGUUCUCAUCUUUCAAUUUUAAAGAGGCCAAUUUUAUUAUCUGUUCAAAACUGCUUGAUGAAGUCUUAUAGAAAUCACCAUCAAAAUAAGGAAUACCUUCAAAACCAGGAACAUGUCUAUGAAUAAACUGAUUGAGACUGAAAUCUCC
Molecule: unclassified non-coding RNA, 4229 nt
Filed under: Hevea brasiliensis (rubber tree)
Lineage: Eukaryota; Viridiplantae; Streptophyta; Magnoliopsida; Malpighiales; Euphorbiaceae
Source: RNAcentral